This 671-nucleotide ribosomal RNA is filed under the name uncultured bacterium. Its description in RNAcentral is "bacterial SSU rRNA". It matches the Rfam family "Bacterial small subunit ribosomal RNA", at positions 94 to 803 of the family's 1533-position model. The record is from RNAcentral.
AGCGGCGGACGGGUUAGUAACGCGUGGGAACGUACCCUUCUCUGCGGAAUAGCCACUGGAAACGGUGAGUAAUACCGCAUACGCCCUUCGGGGGAAAGAUUUAUCGGAGAAGGAUCGGCCCGCGUUAGAUUAGAUAGUUGGUGGGGUAAUGGCCUACCAAGUCUACGAUCUAUAGCUGGUUUUAGAGGAUGAUCAGCAACACUGGGACUGAGACACGGCCCAGACUCCUACGGGAGGCAGCAGUGGGGAAUCUUAGACAAUGGGCGCAAGCCUGAUCUAGCCAUGCCGCGUGUGUGAUGAAGGUCUUAGGAUCGUAAAGCACUUUCGCCAGGGAUGAUAAUGACAGUACCUGGUAAAGAAACCCCGGCUAACUCCGUGCCAGCAGCCGCGGUAAUACGGAGGGGGUUAGCGUUGUUCGGAAUUACUGGGCGUAAAGCGUACGUAGGCGGAUCAGAAAGUAAGGGGUGAAAUCCCAGGGCUCAACCCUGGAACUGCCUCUUAAACUCCUGGUCUUGAGUUCGAGAGAGGUGAGUGGAAUUCCAAGUGUAGAGGUGAAAUUCGUAGAUAUUUGGAGGAACACCAGUGGCGAAGCGGCUCACUGGCUCGAUACUGACGCUGAGGUACGAAGUGUGGGGAGCAACAGGAUUAGAUACCCUGUUAGUCCACACGGA